AGUGAACGCUGGCGGUAGGCCUAACACAUGCAAGUCGAACGGCAGCACAGUAAGAGCUUGCUCUUACGGGUGGCGAGUGGCGGACGGGUGAGGAAUACAUCGGAAUCUACUUUUUCGUGGGGGUUAACGUAGGGAAACUUACGCUAAUACCGCAUACGCCCUACGGGUGAAAGCAGGGGAUCUUCGGACCUUGCGCGAUUGAAUGAGCCGAUGUCGGAUUAGCUAGUUGGCGGGGUAAAGGCCCACCAAGGCGCCGAUCCGUAGCUGGUCUGAGAGGAUGGUCGGCCACACUGGAACUGAGACACGGUCCAGACUCCUACGGGAGGCAGCAGUGGGGAAUAUUGGACAAUGGGCGCAAGCCUGAUCCAGCCAUACCGCGUGGGUGAAGAAGGCCUUCGGGUUGUAAAGCCCUUUUGUUGGGAAAGAAAAGCAGCAGGUUAAUACCCCGCUGUUCUGACGGUACCCAAAGAAUAAGCACCGGCUAACUUCGUG
Molecule: ribosomal RNA, 492 nt
Filed under: uncultured bacterium
Lineage: Bacteria
Description: partial 16S ribosomal RNA
Rfam family: Bacterial small subunit ribosomal RNA
Source: RNAcentral